GGCUCAUUGGUCUAGGGGUAUGAUUCUCGCUUUGGUUGCGAGAGGUCCCGGGUUCAAAUCCCGGAUGAGCCC
RNAcentral lists this transfer RNA (72 nucleotides) under Danionella translucida. It matches the Rfam family "tRNA". From Rfam's summary of the family: Transfer RNA (tRNA) molecules are approximately 80 nucleotides in length. Their secondary structure includes four short double-helical elements and three loops (D, anti-codon, and T loops). Further hydrogen bonds mediate the characteristic L-shaped molecular structure. tRNAs have two regions of fundamental functional importance: the anti-codon, which is responsible for specific mRNA codon recognition, and the 3' end, to which the tRNAs corresponding amino acid is attached (by aminoacyl-tRNA synthetases). tRNAs cope with the degeneracy of the genetic code in two manners: having more than one tRNA (with a specific anti-codon) for a particular amino acid; and 'wobble' base-pairing, i.e. permitting non-standard base-pairing at the 3rd anti-codon position. The record is from Rfam by way of RNAcentral. RNAcentral also lists the same sequence under 1 other name. Lineage: Eukaryota; Metazoa; Chordata; Actinopteri; Cypriniformes; Danionidae.